This 262-nucleotide ribosomal RNA is filed under the name uncultured bacterium. Its description in RNAcentral is "partial 16S ribosomal RNA". It matches the Rfam family "Bacterial small subunit ribosomal RNA", at positions 793 to 1055 of the family's 1533-position model. The record is from RNAcentral.
GUCCACGCCCUAAACGAUGCAUAUUUGGUGUGGGCAGUUCAUUCUGUCCGUGCCGGAGCUAACGCGUUAAAUAUGCCGCCUGGGGAGUACAGUCGCAAGGCUGAAACUCAAAGGAAUUGACGGGGGCCCGCACAAGCGGUGGAGCAUGUGGUUCAAUUCGACGCAACGCGAAGAACCUUACCUGGGCUCGAACGGCUUCUCAACGCCGGUAGAAAUACUGGUACCCCGCAAGGGGUGAGUCGAGGUGCUGCAUGGCUGUCGU